Brassica napus (rape) is the source of this 668-nucleotide long non-coding RNA. RefSeq lists it as uncharacterized. The transcript is spliced from 2 exons. Lineage: Eukaryota; Viridiplantae; Streptophyta; Magnoliopsida; Brassicales; Brassicaceae. The record is from RefSeq and is a predicted model, not a curated record.
AAGAGUUAACCGGUAGAUACAGAGUUUACCCUUUAAGGCCCGUUUAUAAACGGGCAUAGCUCUAAUAUAAACGUGCUACCCGUUUAUUUUAUUUUUUCUUUUACAAUACAUUAAACGACGCCGUUUUACUAGAUUUUCUACAUCCCUAAUUUUUUCUCAAGCCGUCGGGUUCUCUUCUCUCUUCUUCAAACUCCUUGUAGAUGAAAUCUGGAAAAGCUUUAUGACUCAAACUUGAGAAAUCGAGACAAGGGUCCCAUCGUUGAUUCGAGUCCUUGACUUAUGUGAUCAGCGAUUUUAAUUAUUAAAUCUUGAAUACGAUGAUAGACCGAUCUGGGUUUAAGCUGAGAUUUUUGAUAAUGUUACUGACGUGAUGCAAACAUUUUGACAGCAGCUGGGUUUGAGUUUGAUGUUCUUGUCUAUUCAAAUCAAAGCUCCAUGUAGAUGGAGUAGGGAUCGUUGGUUUGAGACUAAGAGAGGAGGAUGAAGUUGUUUUAUGUCUUGUUUCUAAACGGUUUGCAGUUUUUUUUUUAAAUUUCAGACACAAGCUUUAUGUGAUUUCAGAUUCUCAGUGGUUUGUUGUAUUUCACUUUCUAAGUUUCAGAUUUAUGUACUUUCAGAUUUUAAAUAUGUAUUAGAUACACUGCAGAUUUUAAAUCAGGUUUAUUACA